Molecule: ribosomal RNA, 496 nt
Filed under: uncultured bacterium
Lineage: Bacteria
Description: partial 16S ribosomal RNA
Rfam family: Bacterial small subunit ribosomal RNA
Source: RNAcentral
GAUGAACGCUGGCGGCGUGCCUAAUACAUGCAAGUCGAGCGAACAGACGAGGAGCUUGCUCCUCUGACGUUAGCGGCGGACGGGUGAGUAACACGUGGAUAACCUACCUAUAAGACUGGGAUAACUUCGGGAAACCGGAGCUAAUACCGGAUAAUAUAUUGAACCGCAUGGUUCAAUAGUGAAAGACGGUUUUGCUGUCACUUAUAGAUGGAUCCGCGCCGCAUUAGCUAGUUGGUAAGGUAACGGCUUACCAAGGCAACGAUGCGUAGCCGACCUGAGAGGGUGAUCGGCCACACUGGAACGGAGACACGGUCCAGACUCCUAGGGGAGGCAGCAGUAGGGAAUCUUCCGCAAUGGGCGAAAGCCUGACGGAGCAACGCCGCGGGAGUGAUGAAGGUCUUCGGAUCGUAAAACGCUGUUAUUAGGGAAGAACAAAGGUGUAAGUAACUAUGCACGUCUGGACGGUACCUAAUCAGAAAGCCACGGCUAACUACGU